GUGGGGAAUCUUGCGCAAUGGGCGAAAGCCUGACGCAGCCAUGCCGCGUGAAUGAUGAAGGUCUUAGGAUUGUAAAAUUCUUUCACCGGGGACGAUAAUGACGGUACCCGGAGAAGAAGCCCCGGCUAACUUCGUGCCAGCAGCCGCGGUAAUACGAAGGGGGCUAGCGUUGCUCGGAAUUACUGGGCGUACAGGGCGCGUAGGCGGACAGUUUAGUCAGAGGUGAAAGCCCAGGGCUCAACCGUGGAAUUGCCGUUGAUACUGGCUGUCUUGAGUACGGGAGAGGUGAGUGGAACUCCGAGUGUAGAGGUGAAAUUCGUAGAUAUUCGGAAGAACACCAGUGGCGAAGGCGACUCACUGGCCCAAUACUGACGCUGAGGCGCGAAAGCGUGGGGAGCAAACAGGAUUAGAUACCCCAGUAGUCC
Molecule: ribosomal RNA, 425 nt
Filed under: uncultured bacterium
Lineage: Bacteria
Description: partial 16S ribosomal RNA
Rfam family: Bacterial small subunit ribosomal RNA
Source: RNAcentral